RNAcentral lists this non-coding RNA (23 nucleotides) under Mus musculus (house mouse). Lineage: Eukaryota; Metazoa; Chordata; Mammalia; Rodentia; Muridae. The record is from RNAcentral.
UUUAUCUUACUGAAGUGUGCCCA